Small nucleolar RNA from Caenorhabditis elegans, 113 nucleotides. The record is from Ensembl. Lineage: Eukaryota; Metazoa; Nematoda; Chromadorea; Rhabditida; Rhabditidae.
UCCGAGAACGGUAGCAGGCUUAGAAGAGGUGUCUAGAUUCCACAGGGUACUGUGGAAAAAGUGAACGAACAGGGUCGGCAGGGGAGCUGAACGAGAAUAGAAAAUCUUUUUUU